GACGAACGCUGGCGGCGUGCCUAAUACAUGCAAGUAGAACGCUGAAGAGAAGAGCUUGCUCUUCUUGGAUGAGUUGCGAACGGGUGAGUAACGCGUAGGUAACCUGCCUGGUAGCGGGGGAUAACUAUUGGAAACGAUAGCUAAUACCGCAUAAAAUUGAUUAUUGCAUGAUAAUUAAUUGAAAGAUGCAAUUGCAUUACUACCAGAUGGACCUGCGUUGUAUUAGCUAGUUGGUGAGGUAACGGCUCACCAAGGCGACGAUACAUAGCCGACCUGAGAGGGUGAUCGGCCACACUGGGACUGAGACACGGCCCAGACUCCUACGGGAAGCAGCAGUAGGGAAUCUUCGGCAAUGGGGGGAACCCUGACCGAGCAACGCCGCGUGAGUGAAGAAGGUUUUCGGAUCGUAAAGCUCUGUUGUAAGAGAAGAACGGGUGUGAGAGUGGAAAGUUCACACUGGACG
RNAcentral lists this ribosomal RNA (463 nucleotides) under Streptococcus sanguinis. Its description in RNAcentral is "bacterial SSU rRNA". It matches the Rfam family "Bacterial small subunit ribosomal RNA", at positions 28 to 474 of the family's 1533-position model. Lineage: Bacteria; Bacillati; Bacillota; Bacilli; Lactobacillales; Streptococcaceae. The record is from RNAcentral.